RNAcentral lists this ribosomal RNA (397 nucleotides) under uncultured bacterium. Its description in RNAcentral is "partial 16S ribosomal RNA". It matches the Rfam family "Bacterial small subunit ribosomal RNA", at positions 523 to 918 of the family's 1533-position model. The record is from RNAcentral.
AUACGUAGGUGACAAGCGUUAUCCGGAUUUACUGGGCGUAAAGGGCGUGUAGGCGGUCUUGCAAGUCAGAAGUGAAAUUCCUGAGCUCAACUCGGGCGCUGCUUCUGAAACUGCAGGACUUGAGUGCUGGAGGGGAAAGUGGAAUUCCUGGUGGAGCGGUAAAAUGCGUAGAGAUCAGGAGGAACACCGGUGGCGAAGGCGACUUUCUGGCUGACAACUGACGCUGAGGCGCGAAAGCGUGGGGAGCGAACAGGAUUAGAUACCCUGGUAGUCCACGCUGUAAACGAUGAUUACUAGGUGUAGGGGGUAUCGACUCCCUCUGUGCCGCAGUUAACGCAGUAAGUAAUCCACCUGGGGAGUACGGUCGCAAGAUUAAAACUCAAAGGAAUUGACGGGG